AGUAUGGGCGGCAGCACUGCUAUACAGUUGUGCAGUUGGCAGUGCAGCUUUACUGUUGUUGUUGCUGACUGUACGACGUACAGAGAGAGCAGGUUGCAAACCAGAUCUAUCUCUAUUUCUCCAGCAGUUUGUCAAUCAUCAAAACAUAGAAGGCAUUUUGUCUUAUCAAUAUCUUUAGCCAAAGAGGAAUCAAAGAAGGGCAAAAACUUGGUCCUGAAGGCUACUAAUAAUGAUGACUUAGAUAUUGAUAAUUAUUACAUGAAUCUCUUGACUAGAAAGUUCAAGAGGAUUUCUAAAAAAGGAAAAAAACCUUCCAAAGAAAGGCAACUUAAGCAAGGCUAAGGUGAUUAACAAGUCUCAGUUUGAUGAAUAUUUCUAAUAUGAAAAAAUGGACAUAAUCAAAAUACCGUCUAACGUAGAAAGCUGAAUGGACAAAGCAAAGAGAAAAUAAGAAGGAAUAACACGGAGAAUGAGUCUCAGAGCGUUCCAAGAUCCAAAAACAUCAUAUGAUAAAGCCUUGAUCUGGCAAUGUUAAUAGCCUAAGAAGACCGUUUCAGUGAAAAAUUUGAAGAUUAAAUCAAUGAAGAGGACGACAAUUAGUAAACCAAAAGUUGAAGAAGAAUCUACUGAGGCUAAAGUGAGAGAAAGCAACCAACUCCGGUAUCUAAAUAGUGGUUACUCAAGAUAUAUGACUGGAAACAAGAAAUGUUUUCUCUCAUUGACAGCUUUCUAGGGAGGGAGCGUGACUUUCGGUAGUAACAUAAAAGGUAAAACAAAGUGAAGACCUGAUUAUAUGAUAAAAAGGAGAAAAUUGAGGUAGAUCGGAGUUGAUAUUGAAGAUUGAAAUUUGAAUGAAGACAAGAGAAGAAACCGUAAGAGUUAGUGGACGCGAACUGUGUUUGUGGCCGCAAACGGCGCAAACUUGAAAAGAAAAUUGUUGAGAGUUCAUGGCCACAAACUUGAAUAAGACAAAAUGGCUGAGAUGAGUUGCUGCCUCACUCCAUGGUUUUUUUAGUGGGCACAAAUUGCUUCACGAUCACAAUAAUCGAACCAUACAUUCGUGGACAUGAACUAUGUUCGUCGACACGAAAUACCAAGGCGAGACAUUUUUAUUCGAAAUUAUGACGGAAUAUAUAUUGAAGUUUAGGUUUUUUUUCUCAUUCUUUCGGCGUUUGUCCAAGUGUAGAAGGCUCUGUUUUAAUAUUUUGGAAAGAAACAAGUGGAAGAUAGUAAGAGUUUGCAAAUUUUUUUAUUUAAUAUAAUUAUAUUUAUUCCCUUUUUAAUUUCUCGU
Lycium barbarum (goji berry) is the source of this 1291-nucleotide long non-coding RNA. RefSeq lists it as uncharacterized. The record is from RefSeq and is a predicted model, not a curated record. The transcript has 3 exons. NCBI's taxonomy places the organism in Eukaryota, Viridiplantae, Streptophyta, Magnoliopsida, Solanales, Solanaceae.